Molecule: ribosomal RNA, 323 nt
Filed under: uncultured Pseudomonadota bacterium
Lineage: Bacteria; Pseudomonadati; Pseudomonadota
Description: bacterial SSU rRNA
Rfam family: Bacterial small subunit ribosomal RNA
Source: RNAcentral
AUUGAACGCUGGCGGAAUGCUUUACACAUGCAAGUCGAGCGGCAGCGCGGGGGCAACCCUGGCGGCGAGCGGCGAACGGGUGAGUAAUACAUCGGAACGUGUCCUUGAGUGGGGGAUAGCUCGGCGAAAGCCGGAUUAAUACCGCAUAAGCUCUGAGGAGGAAAGCGGGGGAUUCGCAAGGACCUCGCGCUGUUGGAGCGGCCGAUGUCGGAUUAGCUAGUUGGUGGGGUAAAGGCCCACCAAGGCGACGAUCCGUAGCUGGUCUGAGAGGAUGAUCAGCCACACUGGAACUGAGACACGGUCCAGACUCCUACGGGAGGCUG